This 650-nucleotide ribosomal RNA is filed under the name uncultured marine bacterium. RNAcentral's name for it is "bacterial SSU rRNA". It matches the Rfam family "Bacterial small subunit ribosomal RNA", at positions 80 to 726 of the family's 1533-position model. The record is from RNAcentral.
UGCUAGUGCUGACGAGUGGCGGAUGGGUGAGUAACGCGUAGGAAUCUACCCAGUUGUGGGGGAUAGCCCGGAGAAAUCCGGAUUAAUACCGCAUACGCCCUACGGGGGAAAACAGGGGAUCUUCGGACCUUGUGCAAUUGGAUGAGCCUGCGUUAGAUUAGCUAGUUGGUGAGGUAAGAGCUCACCAAGGCAACGAUCUAUAGCUGGUCUGAGAGGAUGAUCAGCCACAUCGGGACUGAGACACGGCCCGGACUCCUACGGGAGGCAGCAGUGGGGAAUAUUGGACAAUGGGCGCAAGCCUGAUCCAGCAAUGCCGCGUGUGUGAAGAAGGCCUUAGGGUUGUAAAGCACUUUCAAUUGUGAAGAAGGGUAUUAGAUUAAUACUCUAGUAUCUUGACGUUAACUUUAGAAGAAGCACCGGCUAACUCUGUGCCAGCAGCCGCGGUAAUACAGAGGGUGCAAGCGUUAAUCGGAAUUACUGGGCGUAAAGCGCGCGUAGGCGGUUAGAUAAGUAAGAUGUGAAAUCCCCGGGCUCAACCUGGGAACUGCAUCUUAAACUGUUUAACUAGAGUUUAGGAGAGGGAAGUAGAAUUUCAGGUGUAGCGGUGAAAUGCAUAGAGAUCUGAAGGAAUACCAGUGGCGAAGGCGACU